UACGUAGGGCGCAAGCGUUGUCCGGAAUUAUUGGGCGUAAAGAGCUCGUAGGCGGUCUGUCGCGUCCGUUGUGAAAACUCGAGGCUCAACCUCGGGCUUGCAGUGGAUACGGGCAGACUAGAGUGCGGUAGGGGAGACUGGAAUUCCUGGUGUAGCGGUGGAAUGCGCAGAUAUCAGGAGGAACACCGAUGGCGAAGGCAGGUCUCUGGCCGCAACUGACGCUGAGGAGCGAAAGCAUGGGGAGCGAUCGG
This 251-nucleotide ribosomal RNA is filed under the name uncultured bacterium. RNAcentral describes it as "partial 16S ribosomal RNA". It matches the Rfam family "Bacterial small subunit ribosomal RNA", at positions 524 to 775 of the family's 1533-position model. The record is from RNAcentral.